GACACCGGCCCCAGAAAUAUGGACUGAGAUAGAGUGGGGUCGAAACCGAAACUAUUAAGUCGUAUUUCAAUCCUUGGCUGCCUUGGCUGGCUUGGCUUCGUGCCAAUUCAAAGCCGCAAGCAACUUCUGGAUCCUUGUUCGUUCCGGAGAGGACACAAAGGCCUUUCUCGGAGUGCGUCGGUCGAUCCGAGUUUAGGAAGUCUGUAUCAUCAAGAAAAAACUGCAGGUGGCUGGAAGCUGCCGAUCAGCUGCCAGUCUGGAUAGUAGCCAUCAACUCAGCAAAGGCCUGCAGGCGAAUCAGCCCAACCUGUUUCUCUGCUGCCUUUCAAGACAGGAUGCUUUGUGAAAAGUGAAACGGGGCCCACGCACUGCUUCCGCAGGGCCCUGCUGUGGGAGCUCAUGGAGGUGGCACGGUGCAUGGAAGGACAGAGUGGCUGACAGUGAGCUGCCCAAGCAAGCUGCUGGCUCUUGUGACCGUCUCCGAAAGCCUGUGGAUGGGCUAAAUUGCAGACGUGCCUGGACAUUUAUAAAUGGUGCUGCUAUCCAGCUCUACGUCACAGCCAUGAAGUGGCCAUGGGGUGAACUAUGUACAACUGCUGUCAUUAGUACUCGAAUCGGCAGAGCCACCUACUAGCUGUGAAGCCCAGUUGCCAGGCAGCAGAUACUCGACCAGCAACCAGCCUUUGUCGCUCUAGUGGGACACGAGAGCGACAAACAGAAACAAACGACAGCUACAAGCCUCCAACCCAUUCAGCAUGCCCGUGGUGGUACUUUUG
Molecule: long non-coding RNA, 776 nt
Filed under: Ixodes scapularis (black-legged tick)
Lineage: Eukaryota; Metazoa; Arthropoda; Arachnida; Ixodida; Ixodidae
Description: uncharacterized LOC115323008, transcript variant X2
Source: RNAcentral